GUGGAUUAGAUACCCUGGUAGUCCACGCCGUAAACGAUGAGUACUGGGUGUCGCGGGUAGUUGACCCCUGCGGUGCCGUAGCUAACGCGUUAAGUACUCCGCCUGGGGAUUACGGUCGCAAGAUUAAAACUCAAAGGAAUUGACGGGGGCCCGCACAAGCGGUGGAGCAUGUGGUUUAAUUCGACGCAACGCGAAGAACCUUACCUGGGCUAGACAACGGUGGACCGUCCUAGAGAUAGGACUUUCCCUUCGGGGACUGCCGGUUCAGGUGCUGCAUGGUUGUCGUCAACU
RNAcentral lists this ribosomal RNA (291 nucleotides) under uncultured bacterium. Its description in RNAcentral is "partial 16S ribosomal RNA". It matches the Rfam family "Bacterial small subunit ribosomal RNA", at positions 773 to 1060 of the family's 1533-position model. The record is from RNAcentral.